UCCUGGCUCAGAACGAACGCUGGCGGCGUGGAUAAGACAUGCAAGUCGAACGAGAGAAUUGCUAGCUUGCUAAUAAUUCUCUAGUGGCGCACGGGUGAGUAACACGUGAGUAACCUGCCCCCGAGAGCGGGAUAGCCCUGGGAAACUGGGAUUAAUACCGCAUAGUAUCGAAAGAUUAAAGCAGCAAUGCGCUUGGGGAUGGGCUCGCGGCCUAUUAGUUAGUUGGUGAGGUAACGGCUCACCAAGGCGAUGACGGGUAGCCGGUCUGAGAGGAUGUCCGGCCACACUGGAACUGAGACACGGUCCAGACACCUACGGGUGGCAGCAGUCGAGAAUCAUUCACAAUGGGGGAAACCCUGAUGGUGCGACGCCGCGUGGGGGAAUGAAGGUCUUCGGAUUGUAAACCCCUGUCAUGUGGGAGCAAAUUAAAAAGAUAGUACCACAAGAGGAAGAGACGGCUAACUCUGUGCCAGCAGCCGCGGUAAUACAGAGGUCUCAAGCGUUGUUCGGAAUCACUGGGCGUAAAGCGUGCGUAGGCUGUUUCGUAAGUCGUGUGUGAAAGGCGCGGGCUCAACCCGCGGACGGCACAUGAUACUGCGAGACUAGAGUAAUGGAGGGGGAACCGGAAUUCUCGGUGUAGCAGUGAAAUGCGUAGAUAUCGAGAGGAACACUCGUGGCGAAGGCGGGUUCCUGGACAUUAACUGACGCUGAGGCACGAAGGCCAGGGGAGCGAAAGGGAUUAGAUACCCCUGUAGUCCUGGCAGUAAACGGUGCACGCUUGGUGUGCGGGGAAUCGACCCCCUGCGUGCCGGAGCUAACGCGUUAAGCGUGCCGCCUGGGGAGUACGGUCGCAAGAUUAAAACUCAAAGAAAUUGACGGGGACCCGCACAAGCGGUGGAGUAUGUGGCUUAAUUCGAUGCAACGCGAAGAACCUUACCUGGGCUUGACAUGUAAUGAACAACAUGUGAAAGCAUGCGACUCUUCGGAGGCGUUACACAGGUGCUGCAUGGCCGUCGUCAGCUCGUGUCGUGAGAUGUUUGGUUAAGUCCAGCAACGAGCGCAACCCCUGUUGCCAGUUACCAGCACGUGAAGGUGGGGACUCUGGCGAGACUGCCCAGAUCAACUGGGAGGAAGGUGGGGACGACGUCAGGUCAGUAUGGCCCUUAUGCCCAGGGCUGCACACGUACUACAAUGCCCAGUACAGAGGGGGCCGAAGCCGCGAGGCGGAGGAAAUCCUAAAAACUGGGCCCAGUUCGGACUGUAGGCUGCAACCCGCCUACACGAAGCCGGAAUCGCUAGUAAUGGCGCAUCAGCUACGGCGCCGUGAAUACGUUCCCGGGUCUUGCACACACCGCCCGUCA
Molecule: ribosomal RNA, 1361 nt
Filed under: uncultured bacterium
Lineage: Bacteria
Description: bacterial SSU rRNA
Rfam family: Bacterial small subunit ribosomal RNA
Source: RNAcentral